CCCUUAGAUGUUCGGGGCCGCACGCGCGCUACACUGAAGGAAUCAGCACGUCUUUCUCCUUGUCCGAAAGGACUGGGUAACCCGCUGAACCUCCUUCGUGCUAGGGAUUGGGGCUUGUAAUUCUUCCCCAUGAACGAGGAGUUCCCAGUAAGCGCGAGUCAUAAGCUCGCGUUGAUUACGUCCCUGCCCUUUGUACACACCGCCCGUCGCUACUACCGAUUGGAUGGUUUAGUGAGAUCCUCGGAUUGGUCCCGGAGCGGCCUCUGGUCGUGCCGGAGUGCCGAAAAGAAUGUCGAACUUGAUCAUCUAGAGGAAGUAAAAGUCGUAACA
This 330-nucleotide ribosomal RNA is filed under the name uncultured eukaryote. RNAcentral describes it as "partial 18S ribosomal RNA". It matches the Rfam family "Eukaryotic small subunit ribosomal RNA", at positions 1470 to 1796 of the family's 1831-position model. The record is from RNAcentral.